AAUGGCCUGGUUCCAAUUGUGGAGCCUGAGAUACUGCUCGACGGAGAGCACGGGAUCGAUAGGACGUUUGAGGUCGCACAGAAAGUUUGGGCUGAGGUCUUCUUUUACUUGGCUGAGAACAACGUCAUGUUCGAAGGUAUCCUCCUCAAGCCAAGCAUGGUCACCCCCGGCGCCGAGUGCAAAGAGAAGGCCACACCGGAGCAGGUCGCCGACUACACCCUGAAGCUCCUGCACAGAAGAGUCCCAUCUGCUGUUCCUGGCAUUAUGGUACGCAGCACCACCAUGAUCAUCUUGUUCGCUUCUCUCAUAGAGGUGAUGAUUGAUGCCCAUUCACCUGUAAAUGUUUUGGCGAACAGUUCCUCUCCGGUGGACAGUCGGAAGUGGAGGCAACCCUGAACCUGAAUGCCAUGAACCAGAGCCCCAACCCAUGGCACGUCUCCUUCUCUUACGCGAGAGCUCUGCAGAACACCUGCCUGAAGACAUGGGGAGGAAGACCGGAGAACGUGAAGGCUGCGCAGGAUGUGCUCCUAGUCCGGGCCAAGGCCAACUCGCUCGCUCAGCUCGGGAAGUACUCAGCCGAGGGCGAAGCUGCAGAAGCUAAAGAGGGGAUGUACGUCAAGAA
RNAcentral lists this long non-coding RNA (622 nucleotides) under Musa acuminata (dwarf banana). RNAcentral's name for it is "long non-coding RNA (MACU_LNC003230)". Lineage: Eukaryota; Viridiplantae; Streptophyta; Magnoliopsida; Zingiberales; Musaceae. The record is from RNAcentral.